GAGCUCAACAGGUGACUGGGUACCUGGAUAUGUGAUCGAGUAUUCUUCUGGGUGUUUCUAUGAGGAUGUUUUUGGAUGAAAUUGGCAUUUAAAUUGGUAAACUGAGUAAAGCAGUCUGUCCCCCUAACCGGGGUGGGCUUCAUGUAAUCAGCUCAAGGUUUGAAUACAACAAAAAGACUUACACUCUCGCAAGUGAAAGGCAAUUCUUUCUGCCUGGUAGCCUUCAAACUGAGACACAGGCUUUUAUCCUGCCUUCAGAUUCGCCUGGGAACACUGGCUCUUCCUGAGUCUCAAGCCUGCUGGCCUUGAGACAAGAACUACAUCAGCUCUCUCAGUUCUCAAGCCUUUGGACUUACUCUGGAACUAAGCCAUCAGCUCUCUUGGGUCGUCAGCUUGCCAACCAACUCAUCCUGAAGAUCUUGGGACUUGCCAGCCUUCAUAGUCACGUGGGCCAAUUCCUUUUUUUUUUUUUUUUUUUGAGAUGGGGUCUUACUCUGUUGCCCAGGCUGGACUGCAAUGGCACGAUUAUGGCUCACUGCAGCCUCAACCUCCAGGGCUUGAGUGAUCCUCCCACCUCAGCCUCCCAAGUAGCUGGGACUACAGGCACAUGCUACCAUGCCCAGCUAAUUAAAAAAAAUUUUUUUUUUGUAGAGACGGAGUUUCACUGUGUUGCUCAGGCUGGUCUUGAACUCCUGAGCUCAAGCAACCCUCCACUUCAGCUUCCCAAAGUGCUGGGAUUACAGGCAUCACUGGCCCAGGCAGAGCCAAUUCUGUAUAAUAAAUCUGUCUCUCUCUGUCUCUCGUGUAUGUGUGUGUGUGCACAUUCUGUUUUGCUAGAGAAUGCUGACUAAUACAGA
Molecule: long non-coding RNA, 857 nt
Filed under: Homo sapiens (human)
Lineage: Eukaryota; Metazoa; Chordata; Mammalia; Primates; Hominidae
Description: long non-coding RNA NONHSAT021676.2
Source: RNAcentral